This 256-nucleotide ribosomal RNA is filed under the name uncultured Rhizophagus. Its description in RNAcentral is "partial large subunit ribosomal RNA". It matches the Rfam family "Eukaryotic large subunit ribosomal RNA", at positions 359 to 525 of the family's 3401-position model. Lineage: Eukaryota; Fungi; Glomeromycota; Glomeromycetes; Glomerales; Glomeraceae. The record is from RNAcentral.
GAAAGAUGAAAAGAACUUUGAAAAGAGAGUUAAACAGUACGUGAAAUUGUUGAAAGGGAAACGAUUGAAGCCAGUCGUACCUUCGGGUAAUCAGCCUUUCGGGUGCGAUUCUGUGGAGCGUGAGGAGUUAAACGCCUUCAUGCCUGCAUAUUCGUGCACUUUGGGUGUACUUGCCCGUAUGGUUGGUUAACAUCAAUUUUGGUGGUCAUAAAAUGACUGGAGGAAUGUAGCUUCGAUCUCGUAUUGAAGUGUUAUA